RNAcentral lists this transfer RNA (75 nucleotides) under Sphaerodactylus townsendi. RNAcentral's name for it is "tRNA-Thr". The record is from RNAcentral. Lineage: Eukaryota; Metazoa; Chordata; Lepidosauria; Squamata; Sphaerodactylidae.
GGAGGAACUGUGGCUCAGUGGUACAACAUCUGCCUGGUGUGCCAAAGGCCCCAGGUUCAAUCCCCGGCAUCUCCA